RNAcentral lists this unclassified non-coding RNA (145 nucleotides) under soil metagenome. RNAcentral describes it as "partial internal transcribed spacer 1". The record is from RNAcentral.
UAAUAAGUGUUUUAUGGCACUUUUUAAAUCCAUAUCCACCUUGUGUGCAAUGUCAGUCGAUCUUCUUCAUGGAGAUCGACCAAACAUCAACCUUUAUCUUUUAACUCUUUGUCUGAAAAGUAUUAUGAAUAAACAAUUCAAAAUA